Molecule: ribosomal RNA, 253 nt
Filed under: uncultured bacterium
Lineage: Bacteria
Description: partial 16S ribosomal RNA
Rfam family: Archaeal small subunit ribosomal RNA
Source: RNAcentral
UACCAGCACCCCGAGUGGUCGGGACGUUUAUUGGGCCUAAAGCAUCCGUAGCCGGUUCUCCAAGUCUUCCGUUAAAUCCACCUGCUUAACAGAUGGGCUGCGGAAGAUACUAUGGAGCUAGGAGGCGGGAGAGGCAAGCGGUACUCGAUGGGUAGGGGUAAAAUCCGUUGAUCCAUUGAAGACCACCAGUGGCGAAGGCGGCUUGCCAGAACGCGCUCGACGGUGAGGGAUGAAAGCUGGGGGAGCAAACCGG